RNAcentral lists this ribosomal RNA (497 nucleotides) under uncultured bacterium. RNAcentral describes it as "partial 16S ribosomal RNA". It matches the Rfam family "Bacterial small subunit ribosomal RNA", at positions 28 to 507 of the family's 1533-position model. The record is from RNAcentral.
GAUGAACGCUGGCGGCGUGCCUAAUACAUGCAAGUCGAGCGAACAGAUGAGGAGCUUGCUCCUCUGACGUUAGCGGCGGACGGGUGAGUAACACGUGGAUAACCUACCUAUAAGAUUGGGAUAACUUCGGGAAACCGGAGCUAAUACCGGAUAAUAUAUUGAACCGCAUGGUUCAAUAGUGAAAGACGGUUUUGCUGUCACUUAUAGAUGGAUCCGCGCCGCAUUAGCUAGUUGGUAAGGUAACGGCUUACCAAGGCAACGAUGCGUAGCCGACCUGAGAGGGUGAUCGGCCACACUGGAACUGAGACACGGUCCAGACUCCUACGGGAGGCUGCAGUAGGGAAUCUUCCGCAAUGGGCGAAAGCCUGACGGAGCAACGCCGCGUGAGUGAUGAAGGUCUUCGGAUCGUAAAACUCUGUUAUUAGGGAAGAACAAAUGUGUAAGUAACUAUGCACGUCUUGACGGUACCUAAUCAGAAAGCCACGGCUAACUACGUG